Nicotiana sylvestris (wood tobacco) is the source of this 108-nucleotide non-coding RNA. The record is from Rfam. NCBI's taxonomy places the organism in Eukaryota, Viridiplantae, Streptophyta, Magnoliopsida, Solanales, Solanaceae.
UGGACAGAUUAUUGUAUUCGACUGUAUUUAACUGUAUUCACGGCAUGAAAUAGGGGAUUACACUGUUUUUUAAAACGGAAAGUGAAUCAAUUAACAUAAUAAACUCCU